This 886-nucleotide ribosomal RNA is filed under the name Cerodontha angulata. Its description in RNAcentral is "eukaryotic LSU rRNA". It matches the Rfam family "Eukaryotic large subunit ribosomal RNA", at positions 151 to 882 of the family's 3401-position model. The record is from RNAcentral. Lineage: Eukaryota; Metazoa; Arthropoda; Insecta; Diptera; Agromyzidae.
GUAUGGAAUAUUUAAAUUCUAGUAUGAAAAAUUAAUGAUUUAAGUCCUUCUUAAAUGAGGCCAUUUAUCCAUAGAGGGUGCCAGGCCCGUAUAACAUUAAUGAUUACUAGAAAAUAUUUCCAAAGAGUCGUGUUGCUUGAUAGUGCAGCACUAAGCUGGUGGUAAACUCCAUCUAAAACUAAAUAUAACCAUGAGACCGAUAGCAAACAAGUACCGUGAGGGAAAGUUGAAAAGAACUCUGAAUAGAGAGUUAAAUAGUACGUGAAACUGCUUAGAGAUUAAACCCGAUGAACCUGAAUAUCCAAUAUAGUGAAUUCAUCAUUAUGACAAUAAAUUUUUUUUUUUAUUGUAAUGGUGUGCAUUUUCACUAUAUAAUUGGACAUUGUAAUCUAUUAAUUAAUAAUAUUUAUCAUAAGAUCAUAAGUAAUUGUUUAUUUUAUUUAAUAUUUACUAUUAAUAAAAUAAAUACUAUUGAUUUGAUAAAGUAUUGAUAGAUAAUAUGUAUAGUGUAAAAAUUAUAAAAUUUUAUAAUAUAAUUUAUAUUAUAUAACACUAAUACGAUUUACAAUGCGAAAGAUUCAGGAUACCUUCGGGACCCGUCUUGAAACACGGACCAAGGAGUCUAACAUAUGUGCAAGUUUUUGGGUUAUUAAUAUAAUACCCAAAAGCAUAAUUAACAUAACUAAUUUAUGGGAUUAAUUUUUGUAUAAUUUUAUAUUAUUAAUUCAAUCCCAGGGCGUUCUAUAUAGUUAUGUAUUAAUAGCAUUUAUGUUAUUUUUAUCUCUAACUAGAGCGUACCUUGAGCAUAUAUGCUGUGACCCGAAAGAUGGUGAACUAUACUUGAUCAGGUUGAAGUCAGGGGAAACCCUGAUGGAAGACCGAAACA